Molecule: long non-coding RNA, 423 nt
Filed under: Setaria italica (foxtail millet)
Lineage: Eukaryota; Viridiplantae; Streptophyta; Magnoliopsida; Poales; Poaceae
Description: long non-coding RNA (SITA_LNC006978)
Rfam family: Plant signal recognition particle RNA (bases 12-222)
Source: RNAcentral
UUUGGUGCAGACUCUGGGCUUGGGUCUGUGGUGUGUCCUUGCUAGCCCUGCCCGUUCCAAGUUGGUAGUGGCCUGUGCGGCCCAAGUAAAAGCUCGGGCUUCACUGGACCUGAAGUGGCAGGAACGGCAUGAGGCUAGCUUCACAGAGCAGCGAUCACUGCUCGCUUCCAACGGUGGAAGGAUAACAGACCGCUACAUCACGGGCCCGACCUGGACCCCGAGGAGCCGGCAGCAAGGAUCGGAGAGGGAGUGAUGGAAGGAUAAUAGCCCGCUACAUCAUGGACCCGACCUGGACCACGAGGAGCCGGCGAUGAGGAUCGGAGAGGGAGCAGUGGAAGGAUAACAGGCCUGACCUGGACCCCGAGGAGCCGGCGGGGAGGAUCGGGCAGAACUAACUGGAUGGCGGGAGUGGGGUGAAGUGGG